RNAcentral lists this ribosomal RNA (341 nucleotides) under uncultured Leptolinea sp. Its description in RNAcentral is "bacterial SSU rRNA". It matches the Rfam family "Bacterial small subunit ribosomal RNA", at positions 1027 to 1382 of the family's 1533-position model. The record is from RNAcentral. Lineage: Bacteria; Bacillati; Chloroflexota; Anaerolineae; Anaerolineales; Anaerolineaceae.
AGCUUGCACAGGUGCUGCAUGGCUGUCGUCAGCUCGUGUCGUGAGAUGUUCGGUUAAGUCCGCUAACGAGCGCAACCCUCGCUGUGUGUUACAAGUGUCACACGGUACUGCCGGUCUUAAGCCGGAGGAAGGUGGGGAUGACGUCAAGUCAGCAUGGCCUUUAUGUCCUGGGCUACACACACGCUACAAUGGCCAACACAAUAGGUUGCUAAGCCGCGAGGUGGAGCCAAUCCUCAAAGUUGGUCUCAGUUCAGAUUGUAGGCUGCAACUCGCCUGCAUGAAGAUGGAGUUGCUAGUAACCGCAGGUCAGCAAUACUGCGGUGAAUACGUUCCCGGGUCUU